UGAUCAUCCUGUAGAUCCUAGAAGCAUGUACCUGUGGUUCAUCCAGGGUAAAACCAGAGCUGAGUAGUGCAGUCUCAAAAAGCAAGAUAACAAGAUCCUUGACAGCCUUAUCAUUCUUGUCUGCUUCCGCUUUCUGUCUGAGAUUGUCAAUGAUGGGAUGGUCUGGGUUGAUUUCCAGGUGUUUCUUGGCAGCCAUAUAGCCCAUUGUGGAAGUGUCACGUAGAGCCUGUGCUUUCAUGAUACGCUCCAUGUUUGCUGUCCAACCAUACUGUGAG
RNAcentral lists this unclassified non-coding RNA (275 nucleotides) under Hevea brasiliensis (rubber tree). The record is from RNAcentral. Lineage: Eukaryota; Viridiplantae; Streptophyta; Magnoliopsida; Malpighiales; Euphorbiaceae.